This 446-nucleotide ribosomal RNA is filed under the name uncultured bacterium. RNAcentral's name for it is "partial 16S ribosomal RNA". It matches the Rfam family "Bacterial small subunit ribosomal RNA", at positions 338 to 795 of the family's 1533-position model. The record is from RNAcentral.
CCUACGGGAGGCAGCAGUCGAGAAUCAUUCACAAUGGGGGAAACCCUGAUGGUGCGACGCCGCGUGGGGGAAUGAAGGUCUUCGGAUUUUAAACCCCUGUCAUGUGGGAGCAAAUUAAAAAGAUAGUACCACAAGAGGAAGAGACGGCUAACUCUGUGCCAGCAGCCGCGGUAAUACAGAGGUCUCAAGCGUUGUUCGGAAUCAUGGGGCGUAAAGCGUGCGUAGGCUGUUUCGUAAGUCGUGUGUGAAAGGCGCGGGCUCAACCCGCGGACGGCACAUGAUACUGCGAGACUAGAGUAAUGGAGGGGGAACCGGAAUUCUCGGUGUAGCAGUGAAAUGCGUAGAUAUCGAGAGGAACACUCGUGGCGAAGGCGGGUUCCUGGACAUUAACUGACGCUGAGGCACGAAGGCCAGGGGAGCGAAAGGGAUUAGAUACCCUAGUAGUC